AUUGAACGCUGGCGGCAGGCCUAACACAUGCAAGUCGAGCGGAUGAAGGGAGCUUGCUCCUGGAUUCAGCGGCGGACGGGUGAGUAAUGCCUAGGAAUCUGCCUGGUAGUGGGGGAUAACGUCCGGAAACGGGCGCUAAUACCGCAUACGUCCUGAGGGAGAAAGUGGGGGAUCUUCGGACCUCACGCUAUCAGAUGAGCCUAGGUCGGAUUAGCUAGUUGGUGGGGUAAAGGCCUACCAAGGCGACGAUCCGUAACUGGUCUGAGAGGAUGAUCAGUCACACUGGAACUGAGACACGGUCCAGGCUCCUACGGGAGGCAGCAGUGGGGAAUAUUGGACAAUGGGCGAAAGCCUGAUCCAGCCAUGCCGCGUGUGUGAAGAAGGUCUUCGGAUUGUAAAGCACUUUAAGUUGGAAGGAAGGGCAGUAAGUUAAUACCUUGCUGUUUUGACGGUACCAACAGAAUAAGCACCGGCUAACUUCGUG
This 484-nucleotide ribosomal RNA is filed under the name uncultured bacterium. Its description in RNAcentral is "partial 16S ribosomal RNA". It matches the Rfam family "Bacterial small subunit ribosomal RNA", at positions 30 to 507 of the family's 1533-position model. The record is from RNAcentral.